CCUACGGGAGGCAGCAGUGAGGAAUAUUGGUCAAUGGACGGAAGUCUGAACCAGCCAUGCCGCGUGCAGGAAGACGGCUCUAUGAGUUGUAAACUGCUUUUGUACAAGGGUAAACCUGAAUACGUGUAUUCAGCUGAAAGUACUGUACGAAUAAGGAUCGGCUAACUCCGUGCCAGCAGCCGCGGUAAUACGGAGGAUCCAAGCGUUAUCCGGAUUUAUUGGGUUUAAAGGGUGCGUAGGCGGAUUGAUAAGUUAGAGGUGAAAUGUCCGAGCUUAACUCGGGAACUGCCUCUAAUACUGUUGAUCUAGAGAGUAGAUGCGGUAGGCGGAAUGUAUGGUGUAGCGGGGAAAUGCUUAGAGAGCAUACAGAACACCGAUUGCGAAGGCAGCUUACCAAUCUAUAUCUGACGUUGAGGCACGAAAGCGUGGGGAGCAAACAGGAUUAGAUACCCGGGUAGUC
This 460-nucleotide ribosomal RNA is filed under the name uncultured bacterium. RNAcentral describes it as "partial 16S ribosomal RNA". It matches the Rfam family "Bacterial small subunit ribosomal RNA", at positions 338 to 795 of the family's 1533-position model. The record is from RNAcentral.